This 492-nucleotide ribosomal RNA is filed under the name uncultured bacterium. Its description in RNAcentral is "partial 16S ribosomal RNA". It matches the Rfam family "Bacterial small subunit ribosomal RNA", at positions 29 to 507 of the family's 1533-position model. The record is from RNAcentral.
AGUGAACGCUGGCGGUAGGCCUAACACAUGCAAGUCGAACGGCAGCACAGUAAGAGCUUGCUCUUACGGGUGGCGAGUGGCGGACGGGUGAGGAAUACAUCGGAAUCUACUUUUUCGUGGGGGAUAACGUAGGGAAACUUACGCUAAUACCGCAUACGACCUACGGGUGAAAGCAGGGGAUCUUCGGACUUUGCGCGAUUGAAUGAGCCGAUGUCGGAUUAGCUAGUUGGCGGGGUAAAGGCCCACCAAGGCGACGAUCCGUAGCUGGUCUGAGAGGAUGAUCAGCCACACUGGAACUGAGAGACGGUCCAGACUCCUACGGGAGGCAGCAGUGGGGAAUAUUGGACAAUGGGCGAAAGCCUGAUCCAGCCAUACCGCGUGGGUGAAGAAGGCCUUCGGGUUGUAAAGCCCUUUUGUUGGGAAAGAAAAGCAGCAGGUUAAUACCCCGCUGUUCUGACGGUACCCAAAGAAUAAGCACCGGCUAACUUCGUG